UACGGAGGGUGCGAGCGUUACCCGGAAUUACUGGGUGUAAAGGGAGUGUAGGCGUUCUCUCAAGUCCUAUGCUAAAGACCGAGGCUCAACCUCGGUAGUGCGUUGGAUACUGUGAGGCUAGACGGUCGGAGAGGGCAGCGGAAUUCUCGGAGUAGCGGUUAAAUGCGCAGAUACCGCGAGGAACGCCAAUAGCGAAGGCAGGUGCUUGGACGAUUUGUGUCGCUGAGGAGCGAAAGCGUGGGGAGCAAACCGG
RNAcentral lists this ribosomal RNA (253 nucleotides) under uncultured bacterium. RNAcentral's name for it is "partial 16S ribosomal RNA". It matches the Rfam family "Bacterial small subunit ribosomal RNA", at positions 524 to 776 of the family's 1533-position model. The record is from RNAcentral.